UGCAGUCGAGCGGUAGCACAGGGAGCUUGCUCCUGGGUGACGAGCGGCGGACGGGUGAGUAAUGUCUGGGAAACUGCCUGAUGGAGGGGGAUAACUACUGGAAACGGUAGCUAAUACCGCAUAAUGUCUACGGACCAAAGUGGGGGACCUUCGGGCCUCAUGCCAUCACAUGUGCCCACAUGGGAUUAUCUAUUAGGUGGGGUAAUGGGUCACCUAUGCGACAAUCCCUAUCUGGGCUGAGAGGAUGACCACCCACACUGGAACUGAGACACGGUCCACACUCCUACGGGAGGCAGCAGUGGGGAAUAUUGCGCAAUGGGCGCAAGCCUGAUGCAGCCAUGCCGCGUGUGUGAAAAAAGCCUUCGGGUUGUAAAGCACUUUCACCGAGGAGGAAGGGUUCUGUGUUAAUAGCACUGUGCAUUGACGUUACUCGCAGAAAAAACACCGGCUAACUCCGUGCCACCAGCCGCGGUAAUACGGAGGGUGCAAGCGUUAAUCGGAAUUACUGGGCGUAAAGCGCACGCAGGCGGUUUGUUAAGUCACAUGUGAAAUCCCCGCGCUUAACGUGGGAACUGCGUUUGAAACUGUGAAGCUAUAGUCUUGUAUAGGGGGGUAUAAUUCCAGGUGUAGCGGUGAGAUGCGUAUAGAUCU
This 651-nucleotide ribosomal RNA is filed under the name Serratia liquefaciens. RNAcentral's name for it is "bacterial SSU rRNA". It matches the Rfam family "Bacterial small subunit ribosomal RNA", at positions 56 to 699 of the family's 1533-position model. Lineage: Bacteria; Pseudomonadati; Pseudomonadota; Gammaproteobacteria; Enterobacterales; Yersiniaceae. The record is from RNAcentral.